Molecule: long non-coding RNA, 1955 nt
Organism: Myxocyprinus asiaticus (Chinese sucker)
Lineage: Eukaryota; Metazoa; Chordata; Actinopteri; Cypriniformes; Catostomidae
Exons: 3
Source: RefSeq, a predicted model, not a curated record
UUGAAUUUUAGAGAAAGUGCACUCACAGCAAGAACUGUGUCAUGGACGAGAUCAUUGCAAGGGUGGGACCAGAGUCACAGCGCUCUCAUGAACAUGGAAUCAAGCACAUACAGAUAAGCUCCAAGACCACAAACUUUUAAAGAAACGGACGUCAUCAGAGGAAUACUGUGACUUAAGAAUGCUCUUACUCUGACUAGGAGUAUUCGUCCCAGACAACUGAUACAACACCAUGAUGUGGCAAUGAGGAUGUUCAUGUACAACAAACUCGAACAUAAUGCAAGCACUCCAGUUGUAAUGUUCAAUUCCAUUGUUUGUGUGUGUAAAUACAUGUACUUAAAUUUAUUGUCUUUUGUAGUUACAUGCAUGACAAUCUGUAAAUUGUAACAAAAAAAUCAUACCUUUUGGCCAACAGACUUGCUUUAAAGUGUAAAAAACAGUGUGGCAGAGAGAAAAUGUGCCCUGUCACUUUAAGGAUCUACCGCCAAUCCCAAACCUGAAAGUAUAAAAUGGCUGCUCAUUUGAGUGCACAAGGUGUAUGAGACAGAUGUGUGAGAUAAGGUGUGAAACAAGUGUGGGGUGAACAGAGUUAGUGCUUGGAGAAAGUUUGCCCAGUGUACGUGUGAUAUCAGGAGUGCCACUGGAGUGAGAAAAGAACAAAGAGGACUACAAAAAGUUACUAACUAGUGCUUAACAUUGUUUGCCUGGAUACAAAGAAUGGACCAAACCAUCUAACCACUGACUCAAUGUUUAAAACGGAGUGGCGUGAGUAGCAGAGGAUUGCUGACCUGCUGAAGUGCUCUGUAGCAGAGUUAAGUUGGAUACAAGUGUCUGAAGUGCCACGUGAUCACCUAGGUUUGCUGACCUACUCCAUACCCUCAUUUGUGACUCUCCCUCUGCAUCCUUGAAGCCUCAAGCCACACCAAUGUACAUGUGAACUCCCCUAACCAGCACCCUCUCAUUCUUGUCUAAACCUGUCUGGCGCCCGAAUGUAUUUGUUCAAUUAUUAUUAUUAUUUAAUGGAAUUAUUUAUUUACAUUUAUUCUGGGUGCCGCCACCAUUAAAACAGACACUCUUUAAAACCUGUUUACCUCAAAAUGCCUUGAUAGAACUCAAUAAAAGAUUUGUCAACUAAAUGACAAAAAAUAUUUUGUCAAAUGAGGAGUCAGCAUUUAUACUCAUAUUCAUGCUGUUCCAAACCCAAACGACUGGGAGGAACUCAAAAAGAGAUGUCAGGAAUAAUGAUAGGGACUGACAGCCUCGCUUUCAUUUCAGCCUCAUUGGCAGCAUCUACAACAUAUUCUCAUAUUCCACAGAAGAAACUAAAUAGUACAGGUUUUAAAAAAACAUGAGGGUGAGUAAAUGACAGCAUUUUCAUUUUUAAGUUAGUCAACCCAAAGACAAUGUUACGGUUUAUUUAAAUUUCGUAUUGCACUUUAAUUUCAAGAUACGACAUUGUAACUUAAAAUAAAUCUGACAUAACAGAAAAAUAAAGAAUCUCAUAUUACACAUUUUAAAAGGGGUCCUGUAUUGGAGCUGGAACCACUGAGUUUUGGAGCAGGUGAUUUAAGUGCUCAAAGCUGAUGGGCAGUACACAGGGGAAACAUCUGAAAAAGAUGGCAAUAACCAAUGAGUCAAUUAUCACUGUCAGAACAUAAUGCUGGAUUUUAAGUAGGGACCCCAAAAUAUAUGAAUUCUUGCUAAAAUGCAAGAUUCUAAUAAAUAUUACCUUACAACUGCUUUUAUUAAUUAACAUAAUGUGAAACCAAAUUAUUGGCAUAGCAGAUUUGGUACACUGUGUAAUAUAGGGUAGUAUACAACAGUUAGCUCCGGUCCUCGAAUCUGAUUGGACGAGAGACGUUCCAUGAGCACUGAUGGUCUCACACCAUCAGCACUCGGAUACUUCACUGUGUGUAUCACUCUGCUUGUGUUCAUGCUGUUCUAAACUAAAGUGUAAG